UGUCUUUGCUUCUUGCUUCUGUAGGAGGACUAAGUUAAGGCAUGGGCAGUAGGAGCAAAGACAAACGUGUUCUUAGCAGACCAUGGCUAAAGCGGGCGUUGAAGGAAACACCACAAGAGGAAAGAGGAUGAGCCCGAUUUAUUAACUUCCUCACGAUUUGAAUAGCCCACAAAUCUGAGUGUCGUUAGACUCAAACCAGGAGCUACCUGGGUGAAGAAGUUAAGUGAAACCAGCAUGGGUAGCCAGAGUUGCCAUUUGAGUGUCUGGAAUGAAAAGGGCUUCAUUCGUGCAUGCUUAAGUAAUUCAUCAAUUAUAAUGGAGAAGAGAAAAUAUGUGAAAUAGAACCACACAAGAGGAAAUAAACAUUCAACAGUAAGUUGGUACUGGAGGAUCUCCCUAUUUCACCUGUCAAAAGGCCAAUUUUCCCUGCUAAAAGAAAUCAGGGAAAGCCCCUAUCAGCUGGCAACUCAUACCAAAACACUGCUUAGGUGAGGGCGUGGGAUGAAGGUGUGGAGGUAAACCCUGACUUCUUCCCCACUAUAUCGAGGGUCAUCUUUCUGGCCUGGUGCUGAGUGGGUGGGCUUUCGUUGCCUACUGUGGCUUCAAGGACUGUUUCUGGAAUCUUCCAGGUUUAAGGCCAGCAGGGUUGCAUGACAGCAGAAGCAGUUUCCAGUGGUUUCUUGGCUUUCAGCUGCUUCCCUGUUUGCUCUUUUGUUAUGGCUACUAGUUUAAAACUCCUCCUCUGUUUAUUUGUUUGUCAGUAGGUAUAUGAGAUGAAGUCAGCCCUCAGCCAGGCUCUGCCUUGGAGGACUCUGCAAGGAAAGGGGUCACUUUACCUGUUUUGACCCCACUGGGUGGUUGUCCUGGAGCUGAAUGCAUCAAUUCAGGGGGAGAGAAGGAGGAGACUGCUCAGAAGGAAGAGUCCUGGCUUAGCUUUGAGUUUCGUGUUAGAAUUGUUAUGUGCAAAGUGGGAGAAUCUUCCAGUCCAUGCUUUGCUAAGAAAGUAUUUCCCAAAUUCCAAUAAGUUUCCAUCUGCCUGUGAAAGUAGACCCUGGGGGUCUGAGCACUGGGUGUUAUUAUCUUAUAACAUGAUGUGCAGAACAGAGAAUCCAACAUAAGGAAGUUACACAUUGAUCACUAGCUAGCGGGUAAACUGGCCCUUUCAGACUGGCCCUUCCCCUCUGAUGGCCCUCACCCCGCAAAAAAUUCUCAAUUGAGACUUCCAGAAAGGAAGCAAACCUAGCAGCCUAUUAGCAUACAGUGGGCCAAUUUCUGUGGUUAAGUAAAUAAGUUACUAAAAACAUAAUAGCUGUCUGGGAGCUUUCUGGUUGCAGUUUGGAAUUAAAGGAGUAAUAUAAUAGUGGUCACAGAAAUAAAUAUACUAAUUCAGGCAAAUAAGUGAAACCUGUCAAGUUGUAUUAUUCACUUCCAAAUAACUUGCUGUAUCUGAAACUUUAAGUAUACAAAAACAAGAAGUAGAAUCCAAAAGCUAGAAUUUUCUCUGACCUUCCUUAUGGUAAAUCUUAUGCUUCGGAUGCCAGGCAUAUCAGAUUCCAAUAUACAACAAGUCGAAAAAUGAGACAUAAAACAAAUAUGAUUUGGGGUGGGGAUUAUUUCUCUCAAAUUCAAAAUUGCAAAGGGAUAAUGGUUUGAUACUCUGCCUUCAAGGAGAAAUGUAGCAACCAGUUUUUAUUUCGCCAUUCACAAUAUCAUUCAUUGAUUCAUUUAUAAAACAAGUGUUUGUCUAUUCUGUGUUAGGCACUGUGUAAGAUGUUGGG
Molecule: long non-coding RNA, 1778 nt
Organism: Callithrix jacchus (white-tufted-ear marmoset)
Lineage: Eukaryota; Metazoa; Chordata; Mammalia; Primates; Cebidae
Source: Ensembl